GAUGAACGCUAGCGGCAGGCCUAACACAUGCAAGUCGAGGGGGAAGUUACUUUCGGGUGACUGAGACCGGCGUACGGGUGCGUAACGCGUAUACAAUCUGCCUUUCACUGGGGGAUAGCCCGAAGAAAUUUGGAUUAAUACCCCAUAGUAUAUAGGGACGGCAUCGUUUUUAUAUUAAAGCUUAGGUGGUGAAAGAUGAGUAUGCGUUCUAUUAGCUAGUUGGAGAGGUAACGGCUCCCCAAGGCGAUGAUAGAUAGGGGUUCUGAGAGGGAUGUCCCCCACACUGGGACUGAGAUACGGACCAGACUCCUACGGGAGGCAGCAGUGAGGAAUAUUGGACAAUGGUCGGAAGACUGAUCCAGCCAUGCCGCGUGCAGGAUGAAGGUCUUAUGGAUUGUAAACUGCUUUUGUAAGGGAAGAAUAAGGGCUACGCGUAGUUUGAUGACGGUACCUGACGAAUAAGCAGCGGCUAACUCCGUG
This 480-nucleotide ribosomal RNA is filed under the name uncultured bacterium. RNAcentral describes it as "partial 16S ribosomal RNA". It matches the Rfam family "Bacterial small subunit ribosomal RNA", at positions 28 to 507 of the family's 1533-position model. The record is from RNAcentral.